CCUACGGGAGGCAGCAGUGGGGAAUAUUGGACAAUGGGCGAAAGCCUGAUCCAGCAAUGCCGCGUGAGUGAUGAAGGCCUUCGGGUCGUAAAGCUCUUUUACCAGGGAUGAUAAUGACAGUACCUGGAGAAUAAGCUCCGGCUAACUCCGUGCCAGCAGCCGCGGUAAUACGGAGGGAGCUAGCGUUGUUCGGAAUUACUGGGCGUAAAGAGUACGUAGGCGGUUAUUCAAGUCAGAGGUGAAAGCCCGGGGCUCAACCCCGGAACUGCCUUUGAAACUAGAUAACUAGAGUCUUGGAGAGGUUAGUGGAAUUCCGAGUGUAGAGGUGAAAUUCGUAGAUAUUCGGAAGAACACCAGUGGCGAAGGCGACUAACUGGACAAGUACUGACGCUGAGGUACGAAAGCGUGGGGAGCAAACAGGAUUAGAUACCCUGGUAGUCCACGCCGUAAACGAUGAUAACUAGUUGUUCGGUCACUUGGUGACUGAGUGACGCAGCUACGCAUUAAGUUAUCCGUCCGUCGGGGUAGGUACGGUCGUCGAAGAAGUUAAAACUAACAAAGGAAAGUUAGACGGCGUGUAGACGUUGCCGAACGGACGACGACGAGGGGAGGUUAGG
Molecule: ribosomal RNA, 617 nt
Filed under: uncultured bacterium
Lineage: Bacteria
Description: bacterial SSU rRNA
Rfam family: Bacterial small subunit ribosomal RNA (bases 1-517)
Source: RNAcentral